CCAACCGACCACAUUGUCAUCUCACUUUAUCCUUCCUGAUCGGAUCCGACAUCAGCUCUAUCAGAAAAGAAAAUGAUGAAACCCGUCGCUAUACUUCUCCUCUUCUCAUUGGCCCUCUAUUCAUUUGGUGUUGAUGGAUUCAAUUGUCCACCAAAUGAAGUCUAUUCUCACUGUGAGGGCCACUGCCAGAAGAGCUGCCAAGAACAAGGACCAUUGGUGUGCCCUAGAAUCUGCGUAGGCGGUUGUGUCUGCCAAUCGCCGUACAUCCGCCACUCACGCAAUGAUAAUACAUGCGUUCUGCCAGCGAAUUGCUGAGGAGUUACCUAAAACAUGAAGACAUUUCAGAGAUGUGAAGUGGAAUUAAGACGCAUUGUAUCGUUUCAUGUGUCUUUUUACGUCUAAUAAAAAAUAACUAAAAAGAUU
Long non-coding RNA from Rana temporaria (common frog), 423 nucleotides. RefSeq lists it as uncharacterized. The transcript is spliced from 4 exons. Lineage: Eukaryota; Metazoa; Chordata; Amphibia; Anura; Ranidae. The record is from RefSeq and is a predicted model, not a curated record.